This 225-nucleotide ribosomal RNA is filed under the name Carangoides praeustus (brownback trevally). Its description in RNAcentral is "partial 12S ribosomal RNA". Lineage: Eukaryota; Metazoa; Chordata; Actinopteri; Carangiformes; Carangidae. The record is from RNAcentral.
CCCUUGUCGGUAAAACUCGUGCCAGCCACCGCGGUUAUACGAGAGGCUCAAGUUGACAGACAACGGCGUAGAGCGUGGUUAGAGGAAAUACUUAACUAAAGCGGAACCCCCUCAUAGCUGUUAUACGCUUACGAGAGGAUGAACCACAACUACGAAAGUGGCUUUACUUCACUUGAACCCACGAAAGCUAAGAAACAAACUGGGAUUAGAUACCCCACUAUGAAG